CCUACGGGUGGCAGCAGUGAGGAAUAUUGGUCAAUGGCCGAGAGGCUGAACCAGCCAAGUCGCGUGAGGGAAGACGGCCCUACGGGUUGUAAACCUCUUUUGUCGGGGAGCAAAUGCGGGGACGUGUCCCCGGAUGAGUGUACCUGAAGAAACAGCAUCGGCUAACUGCGUGCCAGCAGCCGCGGUAAUUCGGAGGGUGCGAGCGUUAUCCGGAUUUAUUGGGGGUAAAGGGUGCGCAGGCGGGAUUGUAAGCUAGCGGGGAAAGCCCGGGGGCUAACCCGCGCCCCGCCGUUGAAACUGGCAGUCUCGAGUUGGAGAGAAGUAUGCGGAAUGCGCGGUGUAGCGGUGAAAUGCGUAGAUAUCGCGCAGAACUCCGAUUGCGAAGGCAGCAUGCCGGCUCCACACUGACGCUGAGGCACGAAAGCGUGGGUAUCGAACAGGAUUAGAUACCCCUGUAGUC
This 460-nucleotide ribosomal RNA is filed under the name uncultured bacterium. RNAcentral describes it as "partial 16S ribosomal RNA". It matches the Rfam family "Bacterial small subunit ribosomal RNA", at positions 338 to 795 of the family's 1533-position model. The record is from RNAcentral.